AUAUGCAAUAUGAUAGCUUUAUUUGUUAGAUAGACGUUCUUUAUUUGCUUAUUGUUUUUAUAUGAAUUCCAGUGUUUCAAAUGAUUUGUACUCUCUACCUCAUCUCUUGAUUUUUAGAGAAAUAGGUAAAAAGUUCCAUAGAAUUCUCCCCACUUACCGUUUAAUCAAUAGUGCCAUAGAACUCUCAAUUUUUGCAAACUGAAAUUCAUUCACCUAUGGUAGAGUGAGUGUUACUAUGUCAUGAUUAUGUAACUAGCAUUGCUUGCUGGCAGAUUACAUAAUGUGUGUGAUGCUUCUUUGGCUCGUGAUUUUUUAACUUUGUUGAGAAUAAUUUGAAGAGGAAAAAAAGGUAAAUGAAAGCAGCACUGCCUAAAAAGUUUCUUUUCCCUCUUUGGAACAUGCUUUGUGAGAAAAUGAACGCAGAAAUGACAUAUUCAGUUUUGAUUAAGCCCAAGAAGUGAACCUGGAAACUGUUUUUGUAAACCUGAUCAUCUACUUUAGGAUCCGGGGGAUAAUGGGUGCUGUACUGCUCUAGGAGCAUUACCUUUUCCACUGGGGCUAUACUACUGCUUAAAGAAUGGUAAAUUUCAGCAUUUGCAAAUUGCUAACUCUCACUUAUGCUAUUAUGUAGGCGAAGGGAGAUAAGGACAUAUGGUGAUGUGAAGUCUGUGCAUCAAGGUUUAGCUUUAUGGUAACAGUGUUGGACAGGAUUAGCAGCUUUGUGGUGAUAGACUAUUUAAUUGCCCUUCUUAUAGCCUGUUUGGCCAAGCUUUUUUCUAGUCCAAAAGUAUUUUUUUUCUAAAUUUGAGGUGUUUGGCCAAGCUUUCUGAGAAGCAGAAAAAGAAGCAAAAGCACUUUUUGAGAAGCAGAAAAAAAGUAGCUUCUCUCCAGAAGCAAAAAUAGUUUUGACUUUUCUUCUUACCAAAAAUACCCUUAGCAAAAUGUAGUAUAUUCCAAAGUAACCUUACUUAUUCUAAACCUAAUACUUAGGAUUUUAAUCUAUAAAUAUUUUUUCUUAUUUUUAGGGUAGCUUUCUAAUAUAUAGUGACUUCUGGGGUGAAUGCUUUUAUAUUUGUUGAAUAAUUUUUUGAUAUAUUUAAAUCAUCUUGAAAGAAUUAAAGUACUUUUUCAUUUUAUUUUCAUAUUUUACUUAAAUAAAAUAAAAAAACAUAAUUAUUAUCUUUCAUAAUAAAAUUUUGAAAUUAUUUAUUUACUUACAUAAUAUUAACUAUUAAGUAAAUCUCUUCAUGUCCAAAUUCGUAAUUUGAUACUUAAAAGCAUUUUUUAAAAAUUUUGGCCAAACACAAAUUAUUAUUUAAAAGUGUUUUUCAUAUUGAUUAGCUAAGCACAAACUGCUUUUCUCCAUAAAUACUUUUUCGAAAAGUAUUUUUGGAAAAAAAGCUUCUUACAAUAAGUUGAUUUUUUCAGCUUGGCCAACCAGGCUAUUAAGUUUUUGGCCAUGUUAAAGUUAUGUCUUAGGAUGUUAUAACUAACUAAAGAUUUGGUUGUUUAAGGUGGAAGAAUUGCUCCUUUUAAUUUUC
This 1541-nucleotide long non-coding RNA is filed under the name Nicotiana tabacum (common tobacco). RNAcentral's name for it is "long non-coding RNA (NTAB_LNC009305)". The record is from RNAcentral. Lineage: Eukaryota; Viridiplantae; Streptophyta; Magnoliopsida; Solanales; Solanaceae.